GAUGAACGCUGGCGGCGUGCUUAACACAUGCAAGUCGAGCGGAAAGGCUCCUGCUUGCAGGGGUACUCGAGUGGCGAACGGGUGAGUAACACGUGGGUGAUCUGCCCUGCACUUCGGGAUAAGCCUGGGAAACUGGGUCUAAUACCGGAUAGGACCACAUUUUGGAUGGUGUGGUGGAAAGUUUUUCGGUGUGGGAUGAGCUCGCGGCCUAUCAGCUUGUUGGUGGGGUAAUGGCCUACCAAGGCGUCGACGGGUAGCCGGCCUGAGAGGGUGUACGGCCACAUUGGGACUGAGAUACGGCCCAGACUCCUACGGGAGGCAGCAGUGGGGAAUAGUGCACAAUGGGCGCAAGCCUGAUGCAGCGACGCCGCGUGGGGGAUGACGGCCUUCGGGUUGUAAACUCCUUUCGCUAGGGACGAAGCGCAAGUGACGGUACCUGGAGAAGAAGCACCGGCUAACUACGUG
This 465-nucleotide ribosomal RNA is filed under the name uncultured bacterium. RNAcentral's name for it is "partial 16S ribosomal RNA". It matches the Rfam family "Bacterial small subunit ribosomal RNA", at positions 28 to 507 of the family's 1533-position model. The record is from RNAcentral.